CUUUCGGGCGGGGAUUAGUGGCGAACGGGUGAGUAACACGUGGGCAAUCUGCCCUGCACUCUGGGACAAGCCCUGGAAACGGGGUCUAAUACCGGAUAUGACUGUCCAUCGCAUGGUGGAUGGUGUAAAGCUCCGGCGGUGCAGGAUGAGCCCGCGGCCUAUCAGCUUGUUGGUGAGGUAGUGGCUCACCAAGGCGACGACGGGUAGCCGGCCUGAGAGGGCGACCGGCCACACUGGGACUGAGACACGGCCCAGACUCCUACGGGAGGCAGCAGUGGGGAAUAUUGCACAAUGGGCGAAAGCCUGAUGCAGCGACGCCGCGUGAGGGAUGACGGCCUUCGGGUUGUAAACCUCUUUCAGCAGGGAAGAAGCGAAAGUGACGGUACCUGCAGAAGAAGCGCCGGCUAACUACGUGCCAGCAGCCGCGGUAAUACGUAGGGCGCAAGCGUUGUCCGGAAUUAUUGGGCGUAAAGAGCUCGUAGGCGGCUUGUCACGUCGGUUGUGAAAGCCCGGGGCUUAACCCCGGGUCUGCAGUCGAUACGGGCAGGCUAGAGUUCGGUAGGGGAGAUCGGAAUUCCUGGUGUAGCGGUGAAAUGCGCAGAUAUCAGGAGGAACACCGGUGGCGAAGGCGGAUCUCUGGGCCGAUACUGACGCUGAGGAGCGAAAGCGUGGGGAGCGAACAGGAUU
This 687-nucleotide ribosomal RNA is filed under the name Streptomyces sp. CRT11a. Its description in RNAcentral is "bacterial SSU rRNA". It matches the Rfam family "Bacterial small subunit ribosomal RNA", at positions 78 to 779 of the family's 1533-position model. The record is from RNAcentral. Lineage: Bacteria; Bacillati; Actinomycetota; Actinomycetes; Kitasatosporales; Streptomycetaceae.